AUGCGGUGCUCCGAGACAUGGUUUAGUGGUAGACUUGACAGUGCUAGGUUGACUUGAUGGUCUUGGAGGUCUUUUCUGACCAGAGUGAUUCUGUGAUUCUAUUCUAUGAUUUUUUAUUGUCCUUGAUAGUCAAGGAAAGCCUGGAUAUGAUUUGGAGAUGCUUCAGCUGUGGAACAAAGUAAGAGUCAGACUGCUGUGAACUAGCACAUAGGAAACCUCAUAAAACAUGAACAACCACAAUAGAAGAAACAAUAAGGUUAUAUUCCUGGAACUGAGCCCCAUGGAAGGAAACCUGACCAAAGAAACUCUUAAUGGACCAGUGGCUCUUGGAGGCUGAGCAGGUACAGAAGAGUGAAACAUAAACAUGGAGGCUGCAAAAGUACAUCUCAAAGACCUUAAUCAGAGUUGGAAGGAACUCUCUGAAGUAGGCAGACCACCAUGAUGCUCUGGUCUCAUCUAGAUGUUUGCAAAAUACAAAUGAUUGACAAUGUGAGAGACUCCUGGAGCAGCUGGAGACCACCAGAAAGUCAUGGAUUACACAGCUUCUACUCUAUUUGUUCAAACCAUAGCAUCUACAAAAUGGGUGACCAUACAAUAGGUAGGUACAAUGAGUGAAUGUAAAGCUUCAUUUGGAGAAUGCUCUCACUAUUAGGCGGUUUAAAUUUAAAUAUAAACUCAAAACUUAAUAUUAGAAACGAAAGGAAGCACCCCUUUGGCAAAGCUGGGAGAUACUUCUAUUUUUGUUUUCAGAGAAAGCAGGACCGCUCUUUUUCUUUGCUCUAGCUACCACCAUUUUAUUUACUACUUUUUCUCAUCUUUGUGAGAUUAUGUUGAUUUGACACUCUUGCAAUAACAGGAAUCAAGCAUUUGCACAGCUGGAGAACCUCUCCUCUACAUCACCUUUAGGCUGAUUCUAGCUGGCAAAAAUAAAAACAGAGAAGCUUUCUGUGCAUAUGUUCAAGGCAGAACUAUCUUUUCCUUGAGCCUUACAGAUAGGUAGCUGCAUCAUGGCAGGAGGUAAUCUGGCAGAAAAGCAAAUGCAUGCUGUCUUCUACUGAGGUAG
Molecule: long non-coding RNA, 1063 nt
Organism: Cygnus atratus (black swan)
Lineage: Eukaryota; Metazoa; Chordata; Aves; Anseriformes; Anatidae
Exons: 4
Source: RefSeq, a predicted model, not a curated record